GGUGGAAAUUUUGCAAACUGCGCAAAAAUACUUUAUUUGUUUUAGGCUGGUUAGCAAUAUUAUAUGCAAAUGAAAAAAAAAAAAAAUCGAUUUUUUUUUUUUUUUCCAUUUUCUAUUCUACAAAAUUUGACCAAAGCAAAUUGUUUUGGGUUAAAAAGAGCAAGGGUUGAGUAAAAGUUGCUUGCUACUUUCCCAUUUGCUUUUGUUUUCGUAGUUUAGUCGUCGUAGAAGAGCUAAAGAAGCAGAUUGAUUGGUGGAGAGAAAGAUGGGGAUAUGGGAUUACAUUUGCAGCUGGACCGAUUCGCUCAAACGAAACGCACCGGAUCUAACCAAAAUCGGCAACGACGCCAACCUUCAAGCCCUGAAGCAGAAUUUGCCGGACGACGAAGGGCGACAGAAGAUCGCCCAAUUCACCACCUGUCUCGCGAAAAACGCCGCUAUCGAAACCAUCAAAUUCGUUCCAGGUGGAGAUUCAGUUCGUAAGGUUGUUACUAAAUCAUACGAGGAGGUGUACAGGUGUGAUGGUCAA
Long non-coding RNA from Ziziphus jujuba (common jujube), 529 nucleotides. RefSeq lists it as uncharacterized. The transcript is spliced from 2 exons. NCBI's taxonomy places the organism in Eukaryota, Viridiplantae, Streptophyta, Magnoliopsida, Rosales, Rhamnaceae. The record is from RefSeq and is a predicted model, not a curated record.